Molecule: long non-coding RNA, 1577 nt
Filed under: Helianthus annuus (common sunflower)
Lineage: Eukaryota; Viridiplantae; Streptophyta; Magnoliopsida; Asterales; Asteraceae
Description: hypothetical non coding rna
Source: RNAcentral
AUGAGGCAGGGUAUUGUGACUGUGGCGGUGAUGGUGGAGGGUGGAGGAGAGUGAUGGUGGGUGGAGGUUGAAGAUGAAGUGUGGUGGUGGGGUUUUUCUCUGAAAAUGUAGAAGAUGCCCGGAUAGUCCCUGUGGUUUGGCCUUUUAAAGGAAAGGGUAAAUUGGUCAUUUCACACCCACUUAACAGAGAAAACAAACUGAAGUUAGACCCAGGGACUAUCCGGGAACAAAAAAUGAAAAGUUGGGGACUAUUCAGGUAAUUUUAGAAAGUUGAGGACUAUAGGUGAAAAAAUGCGAAACCACAGGGACUAUUCGGGCAUUUUUCUCUAAAAUAAAGCAGAUACGCAAAAAGUAGCUACACGAAAAAGCUGUUACGAAAAAAAAAGCAAAUUUGUGAAAAGUUGACACCUAGACAAAAGUUCCAUUCCACACCAUAGUUACCUAAAUCGCUGGGUUUGCCACGAUCCACGUAUUGGAUCGUGGUGUACCCAAUCGCAAUUCACAGUCGUACCGGAACGAUGUGGUACGGCGUUUCAGAUUGAACUGGUUCGAAGUUCCAAAUCGGUUGGGUACAGCGAUCCGCUUCUUGCUAUUUUGCGAUCCGAAUUGAAUUGGUACCAUGUUUCGAUUCAACUGGUACGGUGUUCUAAAUCGUUUUGGUACAACGAUAUAUGGCUAAUUUUAGGCGGGAACAUGCUGAGUUAGUUUAAACAAUGUGUCCAGGAAGAAAGUGAAGAAAGAAGGGGGAAGAAGUUGAGCGGCUGCGUAGCGUACGGGUGUGUUUUAGGGUUUUUUGGUUUAAAUAAGUUUAGUUAUUUCAAUAUUUAACCCCUCUAUUUUUACUAGUGUAUAUUUAAACACUAAAACUUGUAUUUUUCUACAUAAAAAGUGUAAAACUAGUUUGUGUAUUUAAACAUUUAACCCCCUCUAUCUUCACUGGUUUACAUUUGGUCCUUAAACUUAUAAACUUAUCUAUACAUAUACAUAAAAAUUAUAAAUUAGCAUUAUAUAUAUACAUAACAUUUAACCAAAUUACAUCAUCAAUUUCUACUCCUAUUCAAUUUCCAUUUUUAUCUUUAACCUUCAAUGUUUAUAUUUAUGUUUGAUAAUUUGAAUUUUGGAAUUUCUGUUUUAAUUUGUGUACAACGAACCGAACUCUAUGGUACGCUGUACCGGUUUGUACCGAAAUGAACCUACCCCCUUCGUACCGAAAACGUCACCACUAGCGAAUCGCGUACCCGAACCACGUACCCGUACCGGAGCGAACAACGAAUUAGGUAACUAUGUUCCACACGUAUAAAUAAAAAAAAUAGGGUUGAUCAGUUAUGUACGUUUCAAGACAAUUAUGAUGAAAGUUGAACAUUUACGUGAAGUAAUUUCGCAUAUUUCAUGGCUUUAGAGGUAAAACUUGGACACUUGUGUCUAGUUACACCCAAAAAGUGAUCAUUUUCAUGAAUUUCUCCUAAUUAAUUCCAGUUCUGUUUUGUUCACUAUUUCAGUAUUAUAAAACUUCAUCCGCAUACAAGUUGUAACACGCCUUAUGGGCCCCUAAAACCAAGAAGUCUUAAAGAUCUUGC